RNAcentral lists this ribosomal RNA (381 nucleotides) under uncultured bacterium. RNAcentral describes it as "bacterial SSU rRNA". It matches the Rfam family "Bacterial small subunit ribosomal RNA", at positions 384 to 774 of the family's 1533-position model. The record is from RNAcentral.
UGAUGCGCCGACGCCGCCGUUGAGGGAUGAAGGCUUUCGGGUUGUAACCUCUUUUAGCAGGGAACGAAGCUCAAGUGACCGUACCUGCAAAAAAAGCACCGGCUAACUACCUGCCAGCACCCGCGGUAAUACGUAGGGUGCGAGCGUUGUCCGGAUUUAUUGGGCGUAAAGAGCUCGUAGGCGGUUUGUUCCCGUCGGCCGUGAAAACUUGGGGCUUAACCCCGAGCCUGCGGUCGAUACGGGCAGACUUGAGUUCGGCAGGGGAGACUGGAAUUCCUGGUGUAGCGGUGAAUUGCUCAGAUGUCAGGAGGAACUCCGGUGGCGAAGGCGGGUCUCUGGUUCGAUCCUGACGCUGAGGAGCGAUGGCGUGGGGAGCGAACU